GGUUAAAUCUCACCCCUGCACCUUGAUGAUGUAUGUCCAAGGUGUUCUGGUGGGAUGUGAUCCU
This is a non-coding RNA of Cordylochernes scorpioides, 64 nucleotides long. Lineage: Eukaryota; Metazoa; Arthropoda; Arachnida; Pseudoscorpiones; Chernetidae. The record is from the annotation of a GenBank genome assembly.